UGGGGAAUAUUGCACAAUGGGCGCAAGCCUGAUGCAGCCAUGCCGCGUGUGUGAAGAAGGCCUUCGGGUUGUAAAGCACUUUCAGCGAGGAGGAAGGUGGUGAACUUAAUACGUUCAUCAAUUGACGUUACUCGCAGAAGAAGCACCGGCUAACUCCGUGCCAGCAGCCGCGGUAAUACGGAGGGUGCAAGCGUUAAUCGGAAUUACUGGGCGUAAAGCGCACGCAGGCGGUUUGUUAAGUCAGAUGUGAAAUCCCCGGGCUCAACCUGGGAACUGCAUUUGAAACUGGCAAGCUAGAGUCUCGUAGAGGGGGGUAGAAUUCCAGGUGUAGCGGUGAAAUGCGUAGAGAUCUGGAGGAAUACCGGUGGCGAAGGCGGCCCCCUGGACGAAGACUGACGCUCAGGUGCGAAAAGCGUGGGGAGCAAACAGGAUUAGAUACCUCGUGGUAGUCCACGCUGUAAAACGAUGUCGAUUUUGGAGGUUGUGCCCUUGAGGCGUGGCUUCCGGAGCUAACGCGUUAAAUCGACCGCCUGGGGAGUACGGCCGCAAGGUUAAAACUCAAAUGAAUUGACGGGGUC
Molecule: ribosomal RNA, 578 nt
Filed under: uncultured bacterium
Lineage: Bacteria
Description: partial 16S ribosomal RNA
Rfam family: Bacterial small subunit ribosomal RNA
Source: RNAcentral